AAAUGUGGGAAGGUUUGGAACUUCCUGGAGACUUGUUGAAUGACUUUUCCCAAAAUGCUGGUAGCAAUAUGGACAACAAAGUCCAAGAUGAGGUAGUCUCAGAUGGAAAUGAAGAACUUGUUGGGAACUGGAGCAAAGGUGACUCUUGUUAUGUUUUAGCAAAGAGACUGGAGGCAUUUUGCCCCUGCCCUAGAGAUCUGUGGAACUUUGAAAUUGAGAGAUAUAAUUUAGGGUAUCUGGCAGAAGAAAUUUCUAAGCAGCAAAGCAUUCAAGAUGUGACAUGGGUGCUGUUAUAGGCAUUCAGUUUUACAAGGGAAGCAGAGCAUAAAAGUUCAGAAAAUGUGCGGCCUGGCAAUGUAAUAGAAAACAAAAUCUCACUUUCUAAGGAUAAAUUCAAGCUGGCUGCAGAAAUUUACAUAAGUAACUAGGAAAUGAAUAUUAAUCCCAAAGAGAAAGGGGAAAUUGUCUCCAGGGCAUGUCAGAGGCCUUCACAGCAGCCCCUCCCAUCGUAGGCCUGGAGGCCUAGGAAGAAAAAGUGGUUUCAUGGGCCAGGCUUAGGGUCCUUUGCUGUAUGUAGCCUAGGGACUUGGUACCCUGCAACCCAGUGGUUCCAGCUGUGACCGAAAGGGGCCAAUGUAGAGCUCAGGCCAUGGCUUCACGGGGUGCAAGCCUUAAGCCUUAGCAGUUUCCACAUGAUAUUGAGCCUGGGAGUGCACAGAAGUCAAGAAUUGAGGUUUGAGAACCUCUGCCUAGAUUGCAGUGGAUGUAUGGAAAUACCUGGAUGUCCAGGCAGAUGUUUGCUGCAGAGAUGGGGCCCUCAUGGAGAACCUCUGCUAGGGCAGUGCAGAAGGGAAAUGUGGGGUUGGAGCCCCCACAUAGAGUCCCUACUGGGGCACCACCUAGUGGAGCUGUGAGAAGAGUGUCACCAACCUCCAGACCCUAGAAUGGUAGAUCCACUGACAACCUGCACCAUGUGCCUAAAAAAGCUGCAGACUCUCAAUGCCAGCCUGGUAAAGCAGAAAGCAGCCAGGAGGGAGGCUGUACUCUGCAAUGCAACAGCGGCAGGGCUGCCCAAGACCAUGAGAACCCACCUCUUGCAUCAGCAUGACCUGGAUGUGAGACAUGGAGUCAAAGGAGAUCAUUUUGGAGCUUUAAGAUUUAACUGCCCUGCUGGAUUGCAGAUUUGCAUGGGGCCUGUAGCCCCUUUCAUUUUGGCCAGUUUCUUCCAUUGGAAAUGCUGUGUUUACCCAAUGCCUGUAUCCCCAUUGGAUUUAGGAAAUAACUAACUUGCUUUUGAUUUUACAUGCUCAUAGGCAGAAGGGAGUUGCCUUGUCUUGGAAGAUACUUUGGACUGAGAACUUUUGAGUUAAUGCUGAAAUGAGUUAAGACUUCAGGGAAUGUUAAAAAGACAUGAAUGGUUUUGAAAUGUGGGGACAUGAGAUAUGGGAGGGGCUUGAGUGGAAUGAUAUGGUUUGGCUUGUCCCCACUCAAAUCUCAUCUUAAAUUUCCUUGUGUUGUAGGACAGACCCAGUGGGAGGUAAUUGAAUCAUGGGGCAGGUCUUUCAAGUGCUGUUUUCAUGAUAGUGAGUAAGUCUCACAAGAUCUGAUAGUUUUAAAAAUGGGAAUUUCCCUGAACAAGCUCUCUCUCUUCUCUUUUCUGCUGCCAUGUGAGAUGUGCCUUUCACUUUCCACCAUGAUUUUGAUGUCUCCCCAGCCACAUGGAACUUCACUACUAUGGCAAGAUCAAGACUGGAUCUAGGAGAUCUCGGUUCAAUAUGGAGAUUAUCCAGAGAUUCUACUGUUGGAGCCAGAUGCUAUAACUGAAGAGGGUUAAAACUGUCUCCUUUUGGGACACCGAAACAUAGAAGCCUGCCCGGGAAGAGCAGGGUAGAACUUAUAUUCUCUUUGUUCAGCUUCCCAGAGGAAUAAGAAGGCCAGAGUGAAGCCAGGAUAGGAAGAAACAUGAAGCGAUGAAACAUACUGAACAAUUCCAUGUUUAUGGAAAAAAAUUCUGGUAAUGAACUUACUUCACACCAAAGAGACAAGGAGUAGCAUCAUUACCUCAAGCAAUAUUGCCAGAGAAAAUCUUGACACAGAGAAGACAAGCUCAGUGCUUAAUGUGAAAAUUUAUCUGCACAUACAGAACCAGUCCAUAAUACAGAAUUUCCAGUGUCACGUAAAUAGAUACAAGGAUCAUGAACUUUCUUGUAUUGCUUCUGAUUUUAAAAAUAAUGUUUCCAGAAAUCCAGCAGAGAAUGUUUUAUCCAGUGUUUCAUAUCAUUGGCACAACGAACAUCAGUAAAGAUGGAAAUUGGUUUACUAUGAAUUGUAAAGAAAUACUUUUAUAUACUGAAACUCGUAUUUAUAUUUAGCUUUGUGAUACCAGAUGGAAGUCUUGCUCAAUGACAUAUAUUUAAAACAAAUGAAAUAAGUUAUAUUACAUUGACCAUAUGAAAUUUAUUAUUGUUAUAACUUAAAUGUGGUUAACAUCAGCAAUUCUAUGUGGCUAAACCUAGUAUAUCAGUUAGGAACUUUUUUAAACCUGAAAAUAGAAGAAUAACUGGACAAUAGUAACAUAAAACAAAUAUAAGCAAAUUUUUUUCUUACAUAACAAGAAGUCUGGAAGUGGUUGCAGAUGUUGGUUUUAGCAGAACAAUGUUUGCAGAGAUACAAGUUCCUUCUAUUCCUUUUACUCACUGUCUUAUGUAUUUCAUUUGUAUGCUUGUUCACCUCACAUUCACCAAAUUGCUGUUAUGACUGUAGACAACAUAUUUGUAUAAUGGGAGAAGAUAGGGUCAGAAGAAGACCAUGGUACCAGCUCUGUCUAUUCCUUUCUACCAGGAAAGAAAAUAUCUUUUUCUCAAAAUUCCCAGUAUACCACUGUUGACAACUCAUUGAAUAAAACAGUGUUGUGGUCACAUUUGUCUGCAAAGAAAGCAGGUAUAAUAAGUAUUUAGCUGGGCACAUUGUAGUCCUGAGCUUUAGUAAUUCUCUUGGUAAAGUAUAUAAAAGAGAAAUAGGGAUUGGGACUGUAAUUCACAGGGUCUUCCACAGGGUAUUUUCUUACUAAAUUCAGUACUAUGUAAAGCCAGAACAACUUCAGAAUCUCUACAUUACAAGAAGUAUUAAAAAGGACUUUAAACAUCAUAAGCAUGAUCUUUGGUCUUAAUAAGCAUAUUAAUAAAAUAAGUAUAAGCAUAAGUUUAAAUAUUAAUAAGCAUAGGCUUUAUUAUCUUAAACAUUGUGUAUGACAGAAGAGAAGUUUAUGCAAUUGUUUCCAGAGUUGGUACACUUAAUGGUACCAACUUUUUUUUCCUUAUUGAAACUCUGUUAUGACUACUUUAAAGACAAUCCUGCAUAGCGGGCAUCUAGAAUCCGCUAAUAGCUGGGUGACCACUGUAGUUCAUACCUGACCAAACAUCCCUGAAGAAAUUAUGGAGCUGACUCGCCAAAAGUCAAUUUGCAUUAGGAACUUUGAAGCCUCCGGAGAAAUGCAUACUAUCCUCAGGGUAGAAAUAUUCAGAUAUGAGAAGCUUGGCCUUAAAACAAAGCCUUUGUAUUGGGAUGGAGUGGUGAAUCAGAUUCUAGCACUGUUCUGAAACAUGGAUUUGUUCCUCCAUCCAACGUGACUCCUUUCCACAAUUAGAGUCAUUCAUGUCGGAUCUUGGGGUAGAGAGGGCAGGGCAUGAUUUAUACAUGAGAAAUGAUUUGUAAACAGUUUGCAGUCAUACUCACUAAAUUCAGUUAUUGGAACCCAAGUAGCUUCGUUAGUAGAAUGUAGCAUAAAAAUGAGGGACAAACAUUCUUCUCCACUCAGCAGCACAGUAUUUAUGAAGAAACAUAUUGCUUCUAAUGUAGCAGGCAGUGGCAGUGCCUGGUGUACAUAUAGAUCCACAAGGUAAGCUGCUGUUCCUGGCGUGAGUAGAUACGCAUCAGUCUAGGCAAGAAUGCCAAGUGUAAGAGGAAGGCUCAGAAACCACAGCUGUACCCAACACAAGUGACACUGGUCAAAAGCAGAGCCCAGCAUGAGAAACUGUGAGAAUCAGCAGAGAUGGGACUUCUAAGUGGUCAUGGUGCCCUCCAGGAGAUUGAGCUACAGUUAAAAAGUAAGAAGUAGAGAAUGCAGUGUGAUAGCUGAUUAGUAAACUUAUCAUAUUUGUUUGUGUGUGGGUAGUAUGCUCUCGAGAAAUUCUUAUGAGCACUUUUUCAGUAGUUAUGACUUAUCUUUAGCACCUGUGGGCAAGAGUCAUUGGAAUAUACAUUACAUCUACAAAUGAAUAUUUAUCUCUGAGAUGAGCUGUUCGCAGUUUAAUAAAAGUAGGACAGAAUAACAGCAAAUAUUUGGCUUUGCGUAUAUGUCUGUGGAUCUAUUGCAAGGUCUUAAACAUUUCCCAUUCUUGGUCCUGGAGCCCUUUUUGCUCUCAGAUGGAUUCUCAAACAAGAAAUGAAAAAGCAUCAUCUCCAUGAGAUCAAAGUGUUCCAAUUAUAUCCUGAGGAGGCUGUUGUUUGAUCUAUUUUUCAACUGUAAGAUGGUCCUUAAUAACAUCAAUAAUAUGUAUUAAUUGGUGGUUCAAUGUUUUUCUCGCAAGAAACCAAGUGAAUAUUAAAAAUAUUCCUAAUUGACAAGGAAGUACAGGAGCUGACUUGCUAGGAUCACAGAACCAACAACAAGAGUGCGUCUGCAUGUCAAGACUCUGACCUACUGUGUGGGACUCUUUUCAUUACUCCAUCCUCAUCCUCCACCAGCCAUAGCCACCGAAGAACACUCACUUAUUUAAGCAAACUCUGUUUUUAGAAUUGAAGAUGAUAAUUAUUUAUUGCUUUUUUCAGAGUUUUUAUUUUUUAACAUUUAUUACAACAAAUUAGAAUAUAAGAUGAUGUGUCACGCCACCUUCCCCCAGAACUGAUUCUGCUUAUUUGACGGUUUGGAUAGAGGGCGGCUUUCCCUAUUGCAUGCUUUCUCAUACUGCAUCUUUAGACAAAGGUGACCAUCCCAUAGAGAUAGCGAUGCAGAUCUU
This 5018-nucleotide long non-coding RNA is filed under the name Homo sapiens (human). RNAcentral's name for it is "tumor suppressor TSG1, transcript variant 1 (TSG1)". Lineage: Eukaryota; Metazoa; Chordata; Mammalia; Primates; Hominidae. The record is from RNAcentral.